RNAcentral lists this ribosomal RNA (506 nucleotides) under uncultured bacterium. Its description in RNAcentral is "partial 16S ribosomal RNA". It matches the Rfam family "Bacterial small subunit ribosomal RNA", at positions 899 to 1397 of the family's 1533-position model. The record is from RNAcentral.
ACUCAAAGGAAUUGACGGGGGCCCGCACAAGCGGCGGAGCAUGUUGCUUAAUUCGACGCAACGCGAAGAACCUUACCAAGGUUUGACAUCACCCGGAAACGCUCAGAGAUGGGCGCCUCUUCGGACUGGGUGACAGGUGGUGCAUGGCUGUCGUCAGCUCGUGUCGUGAGAUGUUGGGUUAAGUCCCGCAACGAGCGCAACCCUUGUUCCAUGUUGCCAGCACGCUCCUUCGGGGGUGGUGGGGACUCAUGGGAGACUGCCGGGGUCAACUCGGAGGAAGGUGGGGAUGACGUCAAGUCAUCAUGCCCCUUAUGUCUUGGGCUGCAAACAUGCUACAAUGGCCGGUACAGAGGGCUGCUAAACCGUGAGGUGGAGCGAAUCCCUAAAAGCCGGUCUCAGUUCGGAUUGGGGUCUGCAACUCGACCCCAUGAAGUCGGAGUCGCUAGUAAUCGCAGAUCAGCAACGCUGCGGUGAAUACGUUCCCGGGCCUUGUACACACCGCCCGU